AUGUUGACCGGAAACAACGAUAUGAAGCCGCCGAUUCCUAAACGACCCCGGCGGAUGGCUAUGUCGCCGGAAUCAGCACCUUUAGCCUCCGGCAGUAGCAGCUUCAUCCCAGAUGAUAUAAUCUUCUUUCAGAUACUCGUACUUCUUCCUGUGAAGUCCCUUGUGCGCUUCCAAACCGUCUGCAAGUCAUGGCGCACCACAUUAACCAGCAUCAGUUUCGUGCGCUGGCACCUGGAGCUUUCCAAGCGAACAAGGUCGACCAUGGUCCUCGUGCCACGCAAGUAUCAGGAGGACCGACGGAAGGCGUGUUCUAGAUUACUCAGUAUCUUCAGCUUCCAGCCAGGGGAAAGCAAGUGUGCGGAGCUUAUCUUCCGAAAGGAAUUUCAUCCCUAUGGGAUCCCUGUGUUCAGCAUUCCUCUCCAUUGUGAUGGCCUGAUAUUGAUCCCUUGCAUAAUGGGGAAAAUUUUCAUCUGCAACCCGGCCACUAGAGAGUUUGUUGAGUUGCCACCUGGAAGCCCAAGUGUUCUCUUUGAGCACAGGGUCGCCUUUGGCUUUGAUCCUUGGAGUGGUACCUACAAGGUGGCGAGGCACUUCAUCCGCUCGUACAGAGAUACUCUGCAAAUAGAUGGGGAAGGAGGCACCACUAGAGAAUACAGCAGUGGACAUGAGAUCUUAACAUUCGGUGGUGACAGCAAAGAAGAAGCUUGGGUAUGGAAGGCCACUGUGGAUCCACCAUACCCUAUCAAGGCCAGGACUCCAAUUUGUCUCCCAGGGGUCUUCUUUUGGAGUGCUCUCAAGUCCAUGGCACAUGGCAAGGCAAGAAUGAUGCACUAUCUGCACUAG
This 843-nucleotide ribosomal RNA is filed under the name Triticum aestivum (bread wheat). Its description in RNAcentral is "partial small subunit ribosomal RNA". Lineage: Eukaryota; Viridiplantae; Streptophyta; Magnoliopsida; Poales; Poaceae. The record is from RNAcentral.